This 69-nucleotide transfer RNA is filed under the name Dendrochirus zebra (zebra turkeyfish). Its description in RNAcentral is "tRNA-Met". It matches the Rfam family "tRNA". From Rfam's summary of the family: Transfer RNA (tRNA) molecules are approximately 80 nucleotides in length. Their secondary structure includes four short double-helical elements and three loops (D, anti-codon, and T loops). Lineage: Eukaryota; Metazoa; Chordata; Actinopteri; Perciformes; Scorpaenidae. RNAcentral also lists the same sequence under 5 other names. The record is from RNAcentral.
AGCAAGGUCAGCUAAUUAAGCUCUUGGUCCCAUACCCCAAACAUGAUGGUUAAAAUCCCUCCUUUGCUA